GAUGAACGCUGGCGGCGUGCCUAAUACAUGCAAGUCGAGCGAACAGACGAGGAGCUUGCUCCUCUGACGUUAGCGGCGGACGGGUGAGUAACACGUGGAUAACCUACCUAUAAGACUGGGAUAACUUCGGGAAACCGGAGCUAAUACCGGAUAAUAUAUUGAACCUCAUGGUUCAUUAGUGAAAGACGGUUUUGCUGUCACUUAUAGAUUGAUCCGCGCCGCAUUAGCUAGUUUGUAAGGUAACGGCUUACCAAGGCAACGAUUCGUAGCCGACCUGAGAGGGUGAUCGGCCACACUGGACCUGAGACACGGUCCAGACUCCUACGGGAAGCAGCAGAAGGGAAUCUUCCGCAAUGGGCGAAAACCUGACGGAGCAACGCGACGUGAGUGAUAAAGGUCUUCGGAUCGUAAAACUCUGUUAUUAGGGAAGAACAAAUGUGUAAGUAACUAUGCACGUCUUGACGGUACCUAAUCAGAAAGCCACGGCUAACUACGUG
RNAcentral lists this ribosomal RNA (497 nucleotides) under uncultured bacterium. Its description in RNAcentral is "partial 16S ribosomal RNA". It matches the Rfam family "Bacterial small subunit ribosomal RNA", at positions 28 to 507 of the family's 1533-position model. The record is from RNAcentral.